Molecule: long non-coding RNA, 431 nt
Organism: Gorilla gorilla gorilla (western lowland gorilla)
Lineage: Eukaryota; Metazoa; Chordata; Mammalia; Primates; Hominidae
Exons: 3
Source: RefSeq, a predicted model, not a curated record
CAGGCUGCAGUGCAGUGGCACAAUCUCGGCUCACUGCAACCUCCACCUCCGGGGUUCAAGCGAUUCUCCUGCCUCAGCCUCCCGAGUAGCUGGGAUUACAGGCACGUGCCACCAUGCCUAGGAAUUCUCCAUUCACAGAAAUUGUGGAAGAAUAUCAGCACUUGUCAUCUUUUUGAGGAUGAUUCAUCAAAAGGGUAUCUCCAGGCCAGGAAGCAACUCUAUGUCCAUCAGCCAGUGAAUGGAUAAACUGACACAACCACACAACUGAAUAGCACUCAGCAAUAAAGACGAACAAAUUACUGAUACAAGCAAUGACACGGAUGAAAUGGAAAUACAUUUUGCUAAAUGAAAGAAGCUAGACUCAACAGCCUGAAUACUAUGUAAGUCUAUUCAUACGGCAUUCUGGAAAAGGCAAAAUUACAGAGACAAAA